Molecule: ribosomal RNA, 694 nt
Filed under: uncultured bacterium
Lineage: Bacteria
Description: bacterial SSU rRNA
Rfam family: Bacterial small subunit ribosomal RNA
Source: RNAcentral
AACGCUAGCUACAGGCUUAACACAUGCGAGUCGAGGGGCAGCAUGGUCUUAGCUUGCUAAGGCCGAUGGCGACCGGCGCACGGGUGAGUAACACGCAUCCAACCUGCCGUCUACUCUUGGACAGCCUUCUGAAAGGAAGAUUAAUACAAGAUGGCAUCAUGAGUCCGCAUGUUCACAUGAUUAAAGGUAUUCCGGUAGACGAUGGGGAUGCGUUCCAUUAGAUAGUAGGCGGGGUAACGGCCCACCUAGUCUUCGAUGGAUAGGGGUUCUGAGAGGAAGGUCCCCCACAUUGGAACUGAGACACGGUCCAAACUCCUACGGGAGGCAGCAGUGAGGAAUAUUGGUCAAUGGGCGAGAGCCUGAACCAGCCAAGUAGCGUGAAGGAUGACUGCCCUAUGGGUUGUAAACUUCUUUUAUAAAGGAAUAAAGUCGGGUAUGGAUACCCGUUUGCAUGUACUUUAUGGAUAAGGAUCGGCUAACUCCGUGCCAGCAGCCGCGGUAAUACGGAGGAUCCGAGCGUUAUCCGGAUUUAUUGGGUUUAAAGGGAGCGUAGAUGGAUGUUUAAGUCAGUUGUGAAAGUUUGCGGCUCAACCGUAAAAUUGCAGUUGAUACUGGAUAUCUUGAGUGCAGUUGAGGCAGGCGGAAUUCGUGGUGUAGCGGUGAAAUGCUUAGAUAUCACGAAGAACUCCGAUUG